RNAcentral lists this ribosomal RNA (363 nucleotides) under uncultured bacterium. Its description in RNAcentral is "bacterial SSU rRNA". It matches the Rfam family "Bacterial small subunit ribosomal RNA", at positions 29 to 378 of the family's 1533-position model. The record is from RNAcentral.
AACGAACGCUGGCGGCGUGCUUAACACAUGCAAGUCGAACGCGAAAGGGACUUCGGUCCUGAGUAAAGUGGCGCACGGGUGAGUAACGCGUAGGCAACCUACCCUUGUAUUGGGGAUAACCCCGCGAAAGCGGGGCUAAUACCGAAUGAGACCCUGUUCUGGUGGGGACAGGGUGAAAGUCGGCCGCUCGGAGAAGCUGACGUACGAGGAUGGGCCUGCGUCCUAUCAGCUAGUUGGUGGGGUAGUGGCCUACCAAGGCGACGACGGGUAGCUGGUCUGAGAGGACGAUCAGCCACACUGGAACUGAGACACGGUCCAGACUCCUACGGGAGGCAGCAGUGAGGAAUAUUGCUCAAUGGCCGC